UACGUAGGGAGCAAGCGUUAUCCGGAUUUAUUGGGUGUAAAGGGAGCGUAGGCGGCGGUGCAAGUCAGAAGUGAAAGCCCGGGGCUCAACUCCGGGACUGCUUUUGAAACUGUAUUGCUAGAUUGCGGGAGAGGCAAGUGGAAUUCCUAGUGUAGCGGUGAAAUGCGUAGAUAUUAGGAGGAACACCAGUGGCGAAGGCGGCUUGCUGGACCGUAAAUGACGCUGAGGCUCGAAAGCGUGGGGAGCAA
RNAcentral lists this ribosomal RNA (248 nucleotides) under uncultured Lachnospiraceae bacterium. RNAcentral's name for it is "partial 16S ribosomal RNA". It matches the Rfam family "Bacterial small subunit ribosomal RNA", at positions 524 to 771 of the family's 1533-position model. Lineage: Bacteria; Bacillati; Bacillota; Clostridia; Lachnospirales; Lachnospiraceae. The record is from RNAcentral.